GCUCCGACAGCAGCCCCAGGAAAUACGGGAAUGGUUCAGGGACCAAGUUCUGGUAAUACUUCGUCAUCAAGUCACAGCAAAGCCUCUAAUGCUGCUGUAAAAUUGGCAGAAAGCAAAAAAUUGCAAAUUCAAGAAAAAGCAGCACAAGAGGUAAAAUUGGCCAUCAAGCCAUUUUACCAAAAUAAAGAUAUCACCAAGGAAGAAUAUAAAGAAAUUGUACGGAAAGCAGUAGAUAAAUGUGUACUGCUGGAAUGUUCCAUCCAAAAGAUGUAGCUUCAGAAGCACAGUGAUUGCCCCAGGGUCCAUGAGAUAUUGUUUGUAUUAUGAAGUUGGAGUGCUGUCUACUGAAAUUAUACUCUUAAAUAAAUAUGUAUGUAGUGUGUAAUAUUUUCUAAUAAAUUCUUUUGAUAAACUAA
RNAcentral lists this non-coding RNA (416 nucleotides) under Pan troglodytes (chimpanzee). The record is from RNAcentral. Lineage: Eukaryota; Metazoa; Chordata; Mammalia; Primates; Hominidae. RNAcentral also lists the same sequence under 1 other name.